RNAcentral lists this ribosomal RNA (374 nucleotides) under uncultured bacterium. Its description in RNAcentral is "bacterial SSU rRNA". It matches the Rfam family "Bacterial small subunit ribosomal RNA", at positions 524 to 898 of the family's 1533-position model. The record is from RNAcentral.
UACGUAGGGUGCAAGCGUUAAUCGGAAUUACUGGGCGUAAAGCGUGCGCAGGCGGUUAUGUAAGACAGUUGUGAAAUCCCCGGGCUCAACCUGGGAACUGCAUCUGUGACUGCAUAGCUAGAGUACGGUAGAGGGGGAUGGAAUUCCGCGUGUAGCAGGGAAAUGCGAAGAUAUGCGGAGGAACACCGAUGGCGAAGGCAAUCCCCUGGACCUGUACUGACGCUCAUGCACGAAAGCGUGGGGAGCAAACAGGAUUAGUUACCCUGGUAGUCCACGCCCUAAACGAUGUCAACUGGUUGUUGGGUCUUCACUGACUCAGUAACGAAGCUAACGCGUGAAGUUGACCGCCUGGGGAGUACGGCCGCAAGGUUGAA